GACGAACGCUGGCGGCGUGCUUAACACAUGCAAGUCGAACGGAAAGGCCCUGCUUGCAGGGUGCUCGAGUGGCGAACGGGUGAGUAACACGUGGGUGAUCUGCCCCUUACUUUGGGAUAAGCCUGGGAAACUGGGUCUAAUACUGGAUAGGACCAUGCUGUAGGUGGUGUGGUGGAAAGAUUAGUUUCGGUAAGGGAUGAGCUCGCGGCCUAUCAGCUUGUUGGUGGGGUAAUGGCCUACCAAGGCGUCGACGGGUAGCCGGCCUGAGAGGGUGGACGGCCACAUUGGGACUGAGAUACGGCCCAGACUCCUACGGGAGGCAGCAGUGGGGAAUAUUGCACAAUGGGCGCAAGCCUGAUGCAGCGACGCCGCGUGGAGGAUGACGGCCUUCGGGUUGUAAACUCCUUUCAGCCAUGACGAAGCCCUUGUGGUGACGGUAGUGGUAGAAGAAGCACCGGCUAACUACGUG
This 469-nucleotide ribosomal RNA is filed under the name uncultured bacterium. RNAcentral describes it as "partial 16S ribosomal RNA". It matches the Rfam family "Bacterial small subunit ribosomal RNA", at positions 28 to 507 of the family's 1533-position model. The record is from RNAcentral.